UCCUUUGUGGUGCAAAUGGUUAACACACUCGGCUGCUAACCGAUAGACUGGAGAUUCAAGUCCACCCAGAGGCA
RNAcentral lists this transfer RNA (74 nucleotides) under Loxodonta africana (African savanna elephant). It matches the Rfam family "tRNA". Rfam says of the family: Transfer RNA (tRNA) molecules are approximately 80 nucleotides in length. Their secondary structure includes four short double-helical elements and three loops (D, anti-codon, and T loops). The record is from Rfam by way of RNAcentral. Lineage: Eukaryota; Metazoa; Chordata; Mammalia; Proboscidea; Elephantidae.